AAACCAACAGGGAUUGCCUUAGUAGCGGCGAGUGAAGCGGCAAAAGCUCAAAUUUGAAAUCUGUCUUAUGACCGAGUUGUAAUUUGAAGAUGGUAACUUUGGAAUUGGCCUUGCUCAAGUUCUUUGGAACAAGACAUCAUGGAGGGUGAGAAUCCCGUGAUGCAGGGGUCCCAAUUCUAUGUAAAGUGCUAUCAAAGAGUCGAGUUGUUUGGGAAUGCAGCUCUAAGUGGGUGGUAAAUUCCAUCUAAAGCUAAAUAUUGGCGAGAGACCGAUAGCGAACAAGUACUGUGAAGGAAAGAUGAAAAGAACUUUGAAAAGAGAGUGAAAUAGUACGUGAAAUUGUUGAAAUGGAAGGGCUUGAGAUUAGACAUGGUGUGUAAUGUUCCACAUUUCCUUGGAUUUGUGUACUCAUUACAUACUGGGCCAACAUCAGUUUUGACAGAAGGAUAAAUGAUAUGGAAUGUAGCAGCUUGCUGUAUUAUAGACAUGUCAAAUACUUCUCGUUGGGACUGAGGUCUGCAUUUUAGGAUGUUGGCGUAAUGAUCUCAAGCCAC
Molecule: ribosomal RNA, 554 nt
Filed under: Wickerhamiella bidentis
Lineage: Eukaryota; Fungi; Ascomycota; Dipodascomycetes; Dipodascales; Trichomonascaceae
Description: 26S ribosomal RNA
Rfam family: Eukaryotic large subunit ribosomal RNA
Source: RNAcentral